AUUGAACGCUGGCGGCAUGCUUUACACAUGCAAGUCGAACGGUAACAGGCCGCAAGGUGCUGACGAGUGGCGAACGGGGGCGUAAUGCAUCGGAACGUGCCCAGUCGUGGGGGAUAACUACUCGAAAGAGUAGCUAAUACCGCAUACGAUCUAUGGAUGAAAGCGGGGGACCGUAAUGCCUCGCGCGAUUGGUGCGGCCGAUGUCAGAUUAGGUAGUUGGUGGGGUAAAGGCUCACCAAGCCAACGAUCUGUAGCUGGUCUGAGAGGACGACCCGCCACACUGGGACUGAGACACGGCCCAGACUCCUACGGGAGGCAGCAGUGGGGAAUUUUGGACAAUGGGCGCAAGCCUGAUCCAGCAAUGCCGCGUGCAGGAAGAAGGCCUUCGGGUUGUAAACUGCUUUUGUACGGAACGAAACGGCUCUGGUUAAUACCCGGGGCUAAUGACGGUACCGUAAGAAUAAGCACCGGCUAACUACGUG
This 482-nucleotide ribosomal RNA is filed under the name uncultured bacterium. RNAcentral describes it as "partial 16S ribosomal RNA". It matches the Rfam family "Bacterial small subunit ribosomal RNA", at positions 30 to 507 of the family's 1533-position model. The record is from RNAcentral.